This 253-nucleotide ribosomal RNA is filed under the name uncultured bacterium. RNAcentral's name for it is "partial 16S ribosomal RNA". It matches the Rfam family "Bacterial small subunit ribosomal RNA", at positions 524 to 776 of the family's 1533-position model. The record is from RNAcentral.
UACGUAGGGGGCAAGCGUUGUCCGGAUUUAUUGGGCGUAAAGCGCUCGCAGGUGGUUCGAUGCGUCGUGCGUGAAAGCCCCCGGCUCAACUGGGGAGUGUCGUGCGAUACGGUCGGACUGGAGGCCAGUAGGGGGAUGCGGAAUUCCGGGUGUAGUGGUGGAAUGCGUAGAGAUCCGGAGGAACACCAGCGGCGAAGGCGGCGCUCUGGCUCGCAACUGACGCUCAGACACGACAGCAUGGGGAGCGAACGGG